CUCUCCAAAUUGUUUUUGCUUGCAUAAAUGAUUUUUGGAUUCGGAGCGAGUGGCGAACUGGUGAGUAACACGUGGGUAACCUGCCCCGAAGCGGGGGAUAACAUUUGGAAACAAGUGCUAAUACCGCAUAAUUAGUUGGAACCGCAUGGUUCCAACUUGAAAGAUGGCUCUGCUAUCACUUUGGGAUGGACCCGCGCCGUAUUAGUUAGUUGGUGAGAUAAAAGCCCACCAAGACGAUGAUACGUAGCCGACCUGAGAGGGUAAUCGGCCACAUUGGGACUGAGACACGGCCCAGACUCCUACGGGAGGCAGCAGUAGGGAAUCUUCCACAAUGGACGAAAGUCUGAUGGAGCAACGCCGCGUGAGUGAUGAAGGUUUUCGGAUCGUAAAACUCUGUUGUUAAAGAAGAACAAGUGUUAGAGUAACUGUUAACACUUUGACGGUAUUUAACCAGAAAGCCACGGCUAACUACGUGCCAGCAGCCGCGGUAAUACGUAGGUGGCAAGCGUUGUCCGGAUUUAUUGGGCGUAAAGCGAGCGCAGGCGGUUUUGUAAGUCUGCUGUGAAAGCCCUCAGCUCAACUGAGGAAGUGCAGUGGAAACUACAAAACUUGAGUACAGAAGAGGAAAGUGGAACUCCAUGUGUAGCGGUGAAAUGCGUAGAUAUAUGGAAGAACACCAGUGGCGAAGGCGGCUUUCUGGUCUGUUACUGACGCUGAGGCUCGAAAGCAUGGGUAGCGAACAGGAUUAGAUACCCUGGUAGUCCAUGCCGUAAACGAUGAAUACUAGGUGUUGGAGGGUUUCCGCCCUUCAGUGCCGCAGCUAACGCAUUAAGUAUUCCGCCUGGGGAGUACGACCGCAAGGUUGAAACUCAAAGGAAUUGACGGGGGCCCGCACAAGUGGUGGAGCAUGUGGUUUAAUUCGAUGCUACGCGAAGAACCUUACCAGCUCUUGACAUCUUCUGCCAACCCAAGAGAUUGGGCGUUCCCUUCGGGACAGAUGACAGGUGGUGCAUGG
This 1015-nucleotide ribosomal RNA is filed under the name Apilactobacillus kunkeei. RNAcentral's name for it is "bacterial SSU rRNA". It matches the Rfam family "Bacterial small subunit ribosomal RNA", at positions 58 to 1048 of the family's 1533-position model. The record is from RNAcentral. Lineage: Bacteria; Bacillati; Bacillota; Bacilli; Lactobacillales; Lactobacillaceae.